Cyprinus carpio (common carp) is the source of this 1329-nucleotide long non-coding RNA. Lineage: Eukaryota; Metazoa; Chordata; Actinopteri; Cypriniformes; Cyprinidae. The record is from Ensembl.
UGAAUAUGACCCUGUAUUCCAACUUAUCCGAGUCGGAGGUCGACUCCGCCGCUGUAAACAGCUAGAUCCAGAUACUAUCCACCCAGUGGUUCUAGACCCAGCUCACAAAGUAACACAACUCCUCAUUCAGGAUAUGGACAACCAACUCUGUCACCCAGGUUCUGAACGAGUUUUUGCAGAGCUUCGCCGCCAAUUCUGGAUUCUUCGAGGUAGAGCAGCUGUUAAAAAACAACAACACUCUUGCUUUGAUUGCCAAAAAUGGAGAGCCAAGCCAGUUGUGCCCCUAAUGGCAGACCUACCCCAAGCUAGGCUGCAACUGUUUAAGCCUGCCUUCUUUUCUACUGGUAUGGACUGUUUUGGUCCCUUUACAGUGAAAGUAGGAAGACGCAAUGAAAAGCGUUGGGGCAUCCUUUUCAAGUGCCUCACCACACGUGCCAUCCACAUAGACCUCCUACACAGUCUUGAUACAGACUCCUUUCUGAUGGCACUGCGUCGUUUUAUUUCUCGUAGAGGUAAGCCUUCUGAGCUACUUUCAGAUCAAGGCACUAAUUUCAAAGGUGGGGACAGAGAACUCCAGGAAGCCUUUAAAGCUUUGAAUCCUUCAUUGCAAGCACAACUGGCAAAAGAACAAAUUCAAUUUAAAUUCAACCCCCCCAGUAGUCCACACUUUGGAGGAGCUUGGGAACGAGAAAUAAGAUCCAUCAAGUCUGCACUAUAUGCCACUUUGCAAAGUCAAAGCAUGACCGAGGAGGUAUUAAGGACAGUGCUGAUAGAAGUGGAAGGAAUCUUAAACUCCAAACCUCUGGGUUAUGCAUCAACUGAUGUUGCAGACCCCAAUCCCAUCACACCCAAUCUUCUCCUCAUGGGGCGGCUCGAUCCAUCGCUCCCCCAGGCUGUCUACCAUGAAUCAGAACUUUUAAGUCGUCGCAGAUGGAGGCACACACAAGUCCUUGCGGAUCAGUUUUGGAGACAAUUCAUCAAGUAUUACCUUCCUAACCUACAGACCCGUUCCAAGUGGCAGAAAGACACUGAUUACUUACAGCCUGGCAUGAUCGUGAUGAUCCUAGACCCUCAACUACCCAGAGCUGUCUGGCCAGUAGGACAGAUCACCAAUGUCUUUCCUGGAGCUGAUGGACGGAUUAGGACAGCAGAGGUGAAAAUAAAAGACAAAGUAUAUACCAGACCAGCAGCUCGUCUUAUUAAAUUACCAUCCAUCCAUAACACUGACAAAGCGGAGACAAGUCCUUCUACAUAAAGACGAAUUUGACUGUGCAAAUUCGGGGGUGGCUGUUGUAAAGGACUGUGAUAACAAACAAUGGACAGUNNNNN